RNAcentral lists this long non-coding RNA (691 nucleotides) under Brassica napus (rape). Its description in RNAcentral is "long non-coding RNA (BNAP_LNC023236)". The record is from RNAcentral. Lineage: Eukaryota; Viridiplantae; Streptophyta; Magnoliopsida; Brassicales; Brassicaceae.
GAGCAAUUGCCUGGUACUUUGUCAAAAAAGAGAGUCAUCUGAAAGCGUAAGCUAAGGAUGAAGAAAGAUAAGUGUUUUUCUUUAUUUAUCACUCUUAAUGUUACAUUACAUCAUGAGAAUUACAUUUACAGAUUGAGAAUCCUAUGGUUUUAGCUCUGGUCUUUGUUAAUCUUUAGUGCUGCAUAAUGGUUGUGAGUCUUGACAGGCUGUGAUUGUACAUCUGCUGGAGAUUGCUUUUGCUUUAGAGAAAUUUUCUUGGAAAUUUCUUCUGUACUCACUUCUGUUUUGUUUUGUUCGCAAGUUGUUAAAAAACGUUGGGGAGCUAAAGACAAGCUCUGCGUGUUGGGCUUUAAUCUGUUGAUGUUGCUGGGCCUUAAUGCAGGAUUGUAUGGUGACGUGAGCUUAAGUGCAGCUGGGCUUGACGUAAUGGGCUUUGCUGCAGUUGGGCUCGGAGUGAUAUAUCUGAUAGGCCCCCUCAAACUUGGUGCAUCGAUUGCGUCGAUACCGUGUUUGGUCCAGAGCCAUGUUCGAAAAUGUGGCCGUGGAGGCCGAGGCCGAUUAACCGGCACUAGAAUGCCAUGCGGAAGCUUCCCGUAGCGAUUUCACUAUGUUCGGCCAAAAAUCGGUUUUAAGAAAUUUUUUUUUUUUGAGUUUUGAAGGUUUUAGAUCAAAUAUUAAAGAAGAUAUCAAU